Molecule: ribosomal RNA, 282 nt
Filed under: Triticum aestivum (bread wheat)
Lineage: Eukaryota; Viridiplantae; Streptophyta; Magnoliopsida; Poales; Poaceae
Description: partial small subunit ribosomal RNA
Source: RNAcentral
AUGUUCGUGGCGACGUCGUCCUCAUUAGCGGCCGGCUCCUCGACGAAGGAGGAGAUCGUCAUCUCCUUUGGUGGCGAGGACCAGUCGGCGACGUGGGGUGCACUCUACGCCGUGACUAAUGAUGAGUACGAGCAGCAGAUGGAGGUCAUGCUCCGUCGCUCCGUCUUCCACGUUAACGGCCCGAUGACGCCACCUGAGACGCUCCUCCACGUCAAACCGGAGCCCACGCCCCUCCCCGCUCUCCCCCACGCAACCAUGGCGUCCAAAUCGGACGCCGCGUGA